Molecule: transfer RNA, 73 nt
Filed under: Chaetomium globosum CBS 148.51
Lineage: Eukaryota; Fungi; Ascomycota; Sordariomycetes; Sordariales; Chaetomiaceae
Description: tRNA-Ile (TAT) (tRNA-Ile-TAT-1-1)
Rfam family: tRNA
About the family: Transfer RNA (tRNA) molecules are approximately 80 nucleotides in length. Their secondary structure includes four short double-helical elements and three loops (D, anti-codon, and T loops).
Source: RNAcentral
GACCCUGUGGUCUAGUGGUUAAGAUUUCGCUCUUAUAAUGCGAAGAUCGUGAGUUCAAGCCUCACCUGGGUCA